Molecule: ribosomal RNA, 373 nt
Filed under: Tubifex tubifex (sludge worm)
Lineage: Eukaryota; Metazoa; Annelida; Clitellata; Tubificida; Naididae
Description: partial 16S ribosomal RNA
Rfam family: Bacterial large subunit ribosomal RNA
Source: RNAcentral
ACGCCCGCGGUAUCCUGACCGUGCAAAGGUAGCAUAAUCACUUGCCUAUUAAUUGUAGGCUAGAAUGAAGGGACAAACGAGAAUACACCUGUCUCCUUUAAGCCCUUAAAAAUUUAUCUUUAAGUGAAGAAGCUUAAAUUCAUAUGCAGGACAAGAAGACCCUAUAGAGCUUUACCUAAAAUCUACAUAAAUAGUAGCUAGCGGUUCGGUUGGGGCGACCGGGGGACAUUCAUCACCCCCAAACUAAAAGAUAUACCUAUCCCACCAAAGAUCCUUACUCAAGAUCAAAGAAUCAAGCUACCUUAGGGAUAACAGGCUAAUCCUCUUAGAGAGCCUUUAUCGACAAGAGGGGUUGGCACCUCGAUGUUGGCUU